CAUCGUCUGAAAAGUUACGCCACUUAAGUUCCUUUCUCACAAAAUGGAGGAUUUACAUAAUCGAGAUUUAAUCAUCUUUAAGAUAAUAUCGUUCAACAUUUUCCAGUUCUAUCCAAAAGGAAAAGUAAACGCAGGAGAGUUUGAAAAAUCAAUGUAUGAUUACUUAUUUAACCAGAGUUAUUACCGGUUCGGCGCCAGAACCAAGGACUUGAUUGGUUUGUGCUUAUCUUGUAGCCUGAUGAACUUCUGUUUCUUCUGGAGGUGGUUGUGGAUGACGAUGACUCCGCCAGCAGGGUACAGAAUCUCUGACUCCGACAAAUAGUGGGCAUUGUACCUGGGUGUGAUACAUUCCGCAUUUUAAUAUGCGAACUAAGUACUGAUAUCUCUUGGAAUUCUUACGCAACAAACAUUGUCAUUACAAUAGUCCCUGUGUCAUGUUUCAUCGUGUUUUUCAAGGUUCCUGUAUUAAUAUUUCAGUGUAGAUAAUUCGCGUACCUAGCUUUUAAAAUAAAUAUCAAACAAUGCGUAGUUAGCCUCUAGCCAGUCUUGCUUGCCAUUACACACCUACUUAGCUACUUACAAUUUAUUGUAGGCAAUGAAUGUUGCUUGCUAAAUAUUAACAUUUAUUAUGUAAUAAAAUAAAAUUAUUAUCUACAGA
This is a long non-coding RNA of Helicoverpa zea (corn earworm), 658 nucleotides long. RefSeq lists it as uncharacterized. Lineage: Eukaryota; Metazoa; Arthropoda; Insecta; Lepidoptera; Noctuidae. The record is from RefSeq and is a predicted model, not a curated record. The transcript is spliced from 2 exons.